UACGAAGGGGGCUAGCGUUGCUCGGAAUUACUGGGCGUAAAGGGCGCGUAGGCGGAUAUUUAAGUUGGGGGUGAAAUCCCGGGGCUCAACCUCGGAAUUGCCUUCAAAACUGGAUAUCUUGAGUUCGGGAGAGGUGAGUGGAACUCCGAGUGUAGAGGUGAAAUUCGUAGAUAUUCGGAAGAGCACCAGUGGCGAAGGCGACUCACUGGCCCGAUACUGACGCUGAGGCGCGAAAGCGUGGGGAGCAAACAGG
RNAcentral lists this ribosomal RNA (253 nucleotides) under uncultured bacterium. RNAcentral's name for it is "partial 16S ribosomal RNA". It matches the Rfam family "Bacterial small subunit ribosomal RNA", at positions 524 to 776 of the family's 1533-position model. The record is from RNAcentral.